This is a long non-coding RNA of Cebus imitator (Panamanian white-faced capuchin), 1399 nucleotides long. RefSeq lists it as uncharacterized. The transcript has 2 exons. The record is from RefSeq and is a predicted model, not a curated record. NCBI's taxonomy places the organism in Eukaryota, Metazoa, Chordata, Mammalia, Primates, Cebidae.
ACUGCUCACCACCUACACAACACAGGUGCUGCUUCUCUCCCUUGAGCCUCUUCGUGGUACUCUAUUUGUGCCACCUAAUGGCAGUUAAGACAUCACCAUCCUUUGCUGUAUUAGCUGUGUGACCUAAGCUGAGGCAGCUUCCCCAAGGCUCAGGUUCUGUAUCUUAAAAACAAGGAGAUAACAAUAUCUAAUAAUAGCAACUUAAAAAUAGCCAUCUUUUAUUGAGAUCUUACCGUGUACCAGAGAAAUGCUGUGAAUUUACAAACAUUGUCUCAUUUGACUUUCAAAAUCCUAUGAGAUAGGCACUGUUAUCCCCAUUUCACAGAUGAGACAAGAGAAGGUGAGAGAGGCAAAGUGAUCUGCCCAUGGUGCACAGACAGCAAGCAACAGAGCUGAGAUUCUCACUCUGGAAGCCCCACAUGUGGCCCUUCAUGAAUCACUACCCAUUACCCCUUUUUUUGCAGACCCCUUCUUUGGUUCCUACCCAUCUCAUAAGGUUGUUCUGAGAUGAGACAUGAAAAGUCCUUAGCACACCGACUGGUUCUGGGUCUCACUGUCCCCCAUGGUAUCCUCCUUUAAGGAUGAGUUAUUCACAUACAUAUAUGCUUUAAGCAUACUAAUCAAUACAUAAUGAAUUAAUAAAUGAAGAAAGAGAAAACAAGACUAAGGACAUCAGUCAAACUACCAAAAUAAGAUACCAAAGUGUCUUACAAGUGGUUACUCAAUAUCCUAUAUAUAGAUCCUCACAGGACAGUACAAGAUGUAAAUCUCUUUUUCCCCCAAAUGUCUGUGAGAUGCAGCCUUCAUUCUAGGGUAUAAAGGGGAAGAAGUAGGGGCGGUCACAGCAGAAGAGUGAGUAGGAAUGACACAGCACAUCCCAGCAGCAGCAGGCCCAGUUCUGCAGCCCUCACUAAGACACAAUCCCCACUGAAGGGAAAUCCCAUCCAAAUCCUCUUUCCCAGAGAGGAGAAGAAGGUCAAACAGACUAAUCCUCAAAAAGACCUGAAAUUCUGGCUCCCCUGGACCACGCCAAAAGACAUUCCGCUGGGAGCAAGAGACAGGCACCAAAGAGUUGGAGGCAAUUUCUCCACUCUCUCGAGUCUGGGAUACAACUGGAUCUCUUGCUACUUGUUUCGGCCAACAGGAUAUGGCAGAAGUGAGGCUAUGCAAAUUCCAAAGCCUAGGCCUCAAGAGGACAGAAGCCUCCAGCUCUGUCCUUUUGGAAAGCUGCCCUGAAGUGGUCACAGUAUGUAGAAGCCCAGGAUGAAAGACCACAUGGGAAGGGGCCCUGUGAUCCCAGCCCUGAAUAUAGCUGCACAAGUAAGCCCAGGAGAGGACAACAGCACCACCCAGUCAAUCCACGAGUCACAAGAAAUAAACACUAUUGUCACCUUUGGUC